RNAcentral lists this ribosomal RNA (490 nucleotides) under uncultured bacterium. RNAcentral describes it as "partial 16S ribosomal RNA". It matches the Rfam family "Bacterial small subunit ribosomal RNA", at positions 29 to 507 of the family's 1533-position model. The record is from RNAcentral.
AUUGAACGCUGGCGGCAGGCCUAACACAUGCAAGUCGAACGGUAACAGGAAACAGCUUGCUGUUUCGCUGACGAGUGGCGGACGGGAGAGUAAUGUCUGGGAAACUGCCUGAUGGAGGGGGAUAACUACUGGAAACGGUAGCUAAUACCGCAUAACGUCGCAAGACCAAAGAGGGGGACCCUCGGGCCUCUUGGCAUCGGAUGUGCCCAGGUGGGAUUAGCUAGUUGGUGGGGUAACGGCUGACCAAGGCGACGCGCCCUAGCUGGUCUGAGGGGAUGAACAGCUAGACGGGAAGUGAGACACGGUCCAGACUCCUACGGGAGGAAGCAGUGGGGAAUAUUGCACGAUGGGCGCAAGCCUGAUGCAGCCAUGCCGCGGGUAUGAAGAAGGCCUUCGGGUGGGAAAGUACUGUCAGCGGGGAGGAAGGGAGUAAAGUUUAUACCUGUGCUCAUUGACGGUACCCGAAGAAGAAGCACCGGCUAACUCCGUG